GCCUCCCAGAGGGUGGCAUUGAAGGAGGCGGCGGUGGAGAUCACCUGAGGAAAGCUAGUCGCCCCCGGAAACGCCCCGCCAAAGUGAACUCCGGGCCCAGUGUUCGACACCCCGUGUAGAGCCUCCGACCACCACUCAUACCCAGAGAUCCCCAGCCUCGGCACGCCGGCAGCAUUGUUCACCAGCAACCUCACCUUCUCGUCCAACGUCAGCCGACCAACCAAGUCCCGCGCUCGAAUAUGAAUAGGAACCGUUGUCCGACAG
RNAcentral lists this unclassified non-coding RNA (264 nucleotides) under Hevea brasiliensis (rubber tree). The record is from RNAcentral. Lineage: Eukaryota; Viridiplantae; Streptophyta; Magnoliopsida; Malpighiales; Euphorbiaceae.